AGUGGCGAACGGGUGAGGAAUUCAUGGAUAACGUGCCCCGGACUCAGGGAUAGCGUUGUGAAAACGACGGUAAUACCUGAUGACCCCGUAGGACCGCAUGGUCUCGCGGGCAAAGCUCCGACGGUCCGGGAGCGAUUCAUGUCCUAUCAGCUAGUUGGUGAGGUAACGGCUCACCAAGGCAACGACGGGUAUCGGGCGUGAGAGCGUGACCCGACACAUCGGAACUGAGAUACGGUCCGGACACCUACGGGUGGCUGCAGCAACGAAUAUUCCGCAAUGGACGAAAGUCUGACGGAGCGACGCCGCGUGCAGGAAGAAGUCCCUCGGGAUGUAAACUGCUGUCAGGGGUUAGGAACACAAUGACCAACCCCAGAGGAAGCCACGGCUAACUCCGUGCCAGCAGCCGCGGUAAUACGGAGGUGGCGAGCGUUGUUCGGAAUCACUGGGCUUAAAGCGCGUGUAGGCGGGGCGGCAAGUGUCGGGUGAAAGCCCUCGGCUCAACCGAGGAACGGUCCGGCAAACUGCCGUCCUUGAGGUAGACAGAGGUCACUGGAACGACGGGUGGAGCGGUGAAAUGCGUAGAUAUCCGUUGGAACGCCGGCGGCGAAAGCGAGUGACUGGGUCUGUCCUGACGCUGAGACGCGAAAGCGUGGGUAGCAAACAGGAUUAGAUACCCUGGUAGUCCACGCCGUAAACGAUGCGCACUAGGUAUGAGGGACUCUGACGUCAAUCGUGCCGAAGCAAAAGUGCUAAGUGCGCCGCCUGGGGAGUACGGCCGCAAGGCUAAAACUCAAAGGAAUUGACGGGGGCUCACACAAGCAGUGGAGCAUGUGGAUUAAUUCGAAGCAACGCGAAGAACCUUACCUGGGUUUGACAUGCUUGGAUGCCCUUCUGGAAACAGGAGUAAGCUGCCUUCGGGUGAAACUUGCACAGGUGCUGCAUGGCUGUCGUCAGCUCGUGCUGUGAAGUGUCGGGUUAAGUCCCUUAACGAGCGAAACCCCUAUCGUUAGUUGCCAUCGGGUCAUGCCGGGAACUCUAGCGAGACCGCCGGCGUCAAGCCGGAGGAAGGCGGGGACGACGUCAAGUCAUCAUGGCCUUUAUGCCCAGGGUUUCGCACGUGCUACAAUGGUCCGUACAGAGCGAAGCGAGACCGCGAGGUGGAGCAAAUCGCACAAAGCGGGCCCCGGUUCAGAUUGGAGUCUGC
This 1204-nucleotide ribosomal RNA is filed under the name uncultured bacterium. RNAcentral describes it as "bacterial SSU rRNA". It matches the Rfam family "Bacterial small subunit ribosomal RNA", at positions 94 to 1308 of the family's 1533-position model. The record is from RNAcentral.